GAGUAACACGUGGGUGAUCUGCCCUGCACUUCGGGAUAAGCCUGGGAAACUGGGUCUAAUACCGGAUAUGACCAUGGGAUGCAUGUCUUGUGGUGGAAAGCUUUUGCGGUGUGGGAUGGGCCCGCGGCCUAUCAGCUUGUUGGUGAGGUUAUGGCUUACCAAGGCGACGACGGGUAGCCGGCCUGAGAGGGUGUCCGGCCACACUGGGACUGAGAUACGGCCCAGACUCC
This 230-nucleotide ribosomal RNA is filed under the name uncultured bacterium. RNAcentral describes it as "partial 16S ribosomal RNA". It matches the Rfam family "Bacterial small subunit ribosomal RNA", at positions 108 to 339 of the family's 1533-position model. The record is from RNAcentral.